Long non-coding RNA from Toxorhynchites rutilus septentrionalis, 866 nucleotides. RefSeq lists it as uncharacterized. The transcript is spliced from 3 exons. Lineage: Eukaryota; Metazoa; Arthropoda; Insecta; Diptera; Culicidae. The record is from RefSeq and is a predicted model, not a curated record.
UCUAUUUCAUAUUUUUUUUAAUAACAAAAUGUUUAAAAUUUAUCAUCAGUGUAUUUUCCUUUACAUUUUCAAUAACAAUUUUACCAAUUUAAACCAUAUGGUGCAGUGCUGGAAGCAGCGUUACAUGCAGGUCGACGCCUUGCACAUGUUGGCGAAAAAGUGGCGUCAAGUUGUUCGAUGAAUGCAUAUGAAAGGUCGAUAACUGGAUUGCAAGGUGACAGCAUUUGAGGUCGAUUGUUGACAUUUCAUCGACCCGAUCUUGGCAGGCAAAACGGAAUGUGGGUACCCACAAUCCAGUCGACGAACAAAUUAUCGACCUAACAUAGAACGAUCAACUUCGUUGAUCGAAAAUACGGAAUGAUUUACAAAACAAAUCGGCAUCACUGUUUUUUUUCUUCUACGCCAAACUGUCAUCUCAUAACAAAACAAUCGAAUCAUACAACUGCUAUAAACACAAGGCUAUUUUGGUUCCUGUGAGCGAGAUUAUUUCCGCCAUCACCACAGUGUGGAUUGCCACUGUGAUAGCAGCCAACAGCAUCAACAAUUUCCGCAGCAGUAUCAUCCAAGCCCUGGUGACCGUGCCGAAGAACAGCAACAACAGGACCUGACCAUCGAUGGUGUUUCGAAAAACUUUAUAAAGAUGAGAGGAUGAGAUCCAAGACUGUUAAUCGUUAUCAGCAAUUAUACCCUGGAGACAUCGACACCAAUACUAAAACGAUGAAAAAACGCAACGAGUAUCCUCCAGUGCAGGAUUCUAAUGCUGGUGACCCCCAAGGUGAAAUAUGAAAAGCUAUUGGAGUCUUGCCCUCGCUCAGAUUUUGAGAUUUGCCAUAAGCAAACCAUCUCCACCUAAAAUAUUUAUACAU